GGUCGAUUAACUCAGUGGCUAGAGUGCCAUCUUCACACGGUGGAAGUCACAGGUUCGAAUCCUGUAUCGACCA
RNAcentral lists this transfer RNA (73 nucleotides) under Planctopirus limnophila DSM 3776. RNAcentral describes it as "tRNA-Val (CAC) (tRNA-Val-CAC-1-1)". It matches the Rfam family "tRNA". From Rfam's summary of the family: Transfer RNA (tRNA) molecules are approximately 80 nucleotides in length. Their secondary structure includes four short double-helical elements and three loops (D, anti-codon, and T loops). RNAcentral also lists the same sequence under 3 other names. Lineage: Bacteria; Pseudomonadati; Planctomycetota; Planctomycetia; Planctomycetales; Planctomycetaceae. The record is from Rfam by way of RNAcentral.